GCCGAGGUGGCGGAGUAUGGCUUAACGCGCGGGCCUGCUAAGUCCGUUCCCCUCUGGGGAGCUUGGGUUCAAAUCCCAACCUCGGCG
Molecule: transfer RNA, 87 nt
Filed under: Candidatus Altarchaeales archaeon
Lineage: Archaea; Nanobdellati; Candidatus Altarchaeota; Candidatus Altarchaeia; Candidatus Altarchaeales
Also listed under: 1 other name
Description: Candidatus Altiarchaeales archaeon tRNA-Ser
Rfam family: tRNA
About the family: Transfer RNA (tRNA) molecules are approximately 80 nucleotides in length. Their secondary structure includes four short double-helical elements and three loops (D, anti-codon, and T loops). Further hydrogen bonds mediate the characteristic L-shaped molecular structure. tRNAs have two regions of fundamental functional importance: the anti-codon, which is responsible for specific mRNA codon recognition, and the 3' end, to which the tRNAs corresponding amino acid is attached (by aminoacyl-tRNA synthetases). tRNAs cope with the degeneracy of the genetic code in two manners: having more than one tRNA (with a specific anti-codon) for a particular amino acid; and 'wobble' base-pairing, i.e. permitting non-standard base-pairing at the 3rd anti-codon position.
Source: RNAcentral